GAUGAACGCUGGCGGCGUGCCUAAUAAAUGCAAGUCGAGCGAACAGAUAAGGAGCUUGCUCCUUUGACGUUAGCGGCGGACGGGUGAGUAACACGUGGAUAACCUACCUAUAAGACUGGGAUAACUUCGGGAAACCGGAGCUAAUACCGGAUAAGAUUUUGAACCGCAUGGUUCAAUAGUGAAAGACGGCCUUGCUGUCACUUAUAGAUGGAUCCGCGCCGUAUUAGCUAGUUGGUAAGGUAACGGCUUACCAAGGCAACGAUACGUAGCCGACCUGAGAGGGUGAUCGGCCACACUGGAACUGAGACACGGUCCAGACUCCUACGGGAGGCAGCAGUAGGGAAUCUUCCGCAAUGGGCGAAAGCCUGACGGAGCAACGCCGCGUGAGUGAUGAAGGUCUUCGGAUCGUAAAACUCUGUUAUCAGGGAAGAACAAACGUGUAAGUAACUGUGCACGUCUUGACGGUACCUGAUCAGAAAGCCACGGCUAACUACGUG
This 497-nucleotide ribosomal RNA is filed under the name uncultured bacterium. Its description in RNAcentral is "partial 16S ribosomal RNA". It matches the Rfam family "Bacterial small subunit ribosomal RNA", at positions 28 to 507 of the family's 1533-position model. The record is from RNAcentral.